Molecule: long non-coding RNA, 280 nt
Filed under: Calidris pugnax (ruff)
Lineage: Eukaryota; Metazoa; Chordata; Aves; Charadriiformes; Scolopacidae
Description: lncRNA (ENSCPUG00000006825.1)
Source: RNAcentral
ACUCCCUGCAGCUCCAGGUCCUGUCCUUUCUCACAGGGCUGCACGGGUCACCUCAGGCUUGGGUGACCUCCUCCCAGAACUUGGCUCCUCCAAGCUGGCUCAUCUCAAGAGCAUCAGCAAAGAUAGCUAUUCAACCUUUUGACUUCGGUGUGAACAAGCUUUGGCACCAUACAAAUGAAGGAUACAAGUGGAGUAAACUCUCAUCCCUCCUAAAUCCGCUGUUCUUCUUCAUAACUCCUGCAUUAACGUGGCCUCCCUGUCCCUAUCCCCUGCUACUGGC